Cucurbita pepo subsp. pepo (vegetable marrow) is the source of this 1155-nucleotide non-coding RNA. The record is from RefSeq and is a predicted model, not a curated record. Lineage: Eukaryota; Viridiplantae; Streptophyta; Magnoliopsida; Cucurbitales; Cucurbitaceae.
UCUGUCGUUCAAAGAAAGACCGUCGGUGAACUUUCGAAGCAGUCCCUCUUCUCCUUCGAGGUCAGUCCCUCUUCUCCUUCGCCAACUCCCUCUCCUAGCGCCAACUCCCUCUCCUCGCGCCAACUCCCUCUCCUCGCGCCAACUCCCUCUCCUCGCGCCAACUCCUCCUUGGCCAAGAUAUGUGGCCAAACUUGGAGUGAAUGAAGAGGCCUUUUCCAAAUCAUCCUUGGACUGAAUCUGAAGCGAAUGUCCGAAACUUCUCAUGGCGUGGAAGUUCUUGGUUACUUUCGUUGAUGUUCUUGGCCUUCGGUCUUUUACUCUUGAUGAGUUUCUUCAAGCUUUUCAUGAUCAUGACUCAAGGUUAUUGGGUGAAGUACACAUGGCUGUUCUGAAAUCUGUCAUAAAGGAUAUUGAGGAUGUUGCUAGAACCUCCUCUACAGGUCUGGAGGUGGCUAUCUGCGAAUAGUGGAAGGGGUGAGGCUCCUUGGUUGUUAUUACUGCUCUUAAAGUUUAUUCAUGUUUCUAAUCUGGUUCUUUGUUCACCAUCAAGUUACGUUGUUGGCACUCUAUUUCAGUCAUAAGCUUGGGGUUUUGACCUAUGCAGCUGGUAGCAACACUUAAAUCCUUUAACAUGGCCUAAGUUUACUUAGACUGUUAGCCUUAUCAGGAGGGUUUUGGUCCUCAAUAGGGGAACGGGAGAAUGCUGAACCAAGCAUAUCAUCAUGAUGAAAAUGAGUAAACUCUGUUCACAGUAUGUACAUUCCAUAAGAUUUUUCUCUCAGGGAUGUAAAUGUUGGGUUACGGGCAUUGGAGAGAGCUUACUGUAGUCAACACAGCACAUAGACGUGAACAAGGAUCUUAUGGAGGGAGUAGUGUCUCUUAUUCACUUUGCAUUCCUCCAUAGAAUUUUAUGUUAAAACAAAUCAAUAUGACAACGUCGUGGGUUCAAACUAGUACAGUCUUAGCUAGAAAAUGAUGGAGUCAGUUCACUGGGUUACGGGCAUUGGAGCAAUUUCGACGAGAGAGCUUACAGUAGUCGCCAUAGCACAAAGACGUGAAUGAGGUGGAUCUUAUUGACAAAUCAAUAUGACAACGUCAUGGGUUCAAACUAGGAGAGGAUGGAGACAUGGAAAAGAGGGGCAGAUGAGUUGAUGA